UGGCAAGCGUUGUCCGGAUUUAUUGGGCGUAAAGCGAGCGCAAGGCGGUUCAAUAAGUCUGAUGUGAAAGCCUUUCGGGCUCAACCGGUAGAAUUGCAUCAGAAACUGUUGAACUUGAGUGCAGAAGAGGAGAGUGGAACUCCAUGUGUAGCGGUGGAAUGCGUAGAUAUAUGGAAGAACACCAGUGGCGAAGGCGGCUCUCUGGUCUGCAACUGACGCUGAGGCUCGAAAGCAUGGGUAGCGAACAGG
RNAcentral lists this ribosomal RNA (249 nucleotides) under uncultured bacterium. Its description in RNAcentral is "partial 16S ribosomal RNA". It matches the Rfam family "Bacterial small subunit ribosomal RNA", at positions 532 to 776 of the family's 1533-position model. The record is from RNAcentral.